GUCCCGGUAGCUCAGACUUUUCUCAAAAGAUGAGAAGGGGAGCAAUAGGUAGAGCAUCUGACUGUUACAAUUUGUAGAAAUCAGGGGGUCGAAGGUUCGAGUCCUUCCCGGGACG
This 115-nucleotide transfer RNA is filed under the name Candidatus Omnitrophota bacterium. RNAcentral describes it as "tRNA-OTHER". Lineage: Bacteria; Pseudomonadati; Candidatus Omnitrophota. The record is from RNAcentral.